RNAcentral lists this long non-coding RNA (256 nucleotides) under Citrus sinensis (sweet orange). RNAcentral describes it as "long non-coding RNA (CSIN_LNC004805)". The record is from RNAcentral. Lineage: Eukaryota; Viridiplantae; Streptophyta; Magnoliopsida; Sapindales; Rutaceae.
UGAACUUCUCCUUGCGCGCUUCCGGUGAGCUCUUGGCAAUAGCUACAAUGGUCUUCGGCGCUGGAUCUAAUCGGCACGUGGCUGCGUUUCGCGACUUCCAGCGUGAUCUCCGUCCAGCAGCUUAACGCACGAUACUUUUCUCCUCUGCAUUGUCUUCUCCACUUCUUUUUCUUCUUCUCUCUUUCUCCUUCUCUUUUCUUAUUCUUAUUCUUCUUCCUUUUUUUUGAAAUCCCUAAUGGGUUUCAUUGUGCCCAUG